CAAGUCGAACGGCAGCGGGGGCUUCGGCCUGCCGGCGAGUGGCGAACGGGUGAGUAAUGCAUCGGAACGUACCCAGUCGUGGGGGAUAACUACGCGAAAGCGUAGCUAAUACCGCAUACGCCCUGAGGGGGAAAGCGGGGGACCUUCGGGCCUCGCGCGAUUGGAGCGGCUGAUGUCGGAUUAGCUAGUUGGUGGGGUAAAGGCCUACCAAGGCGACGAUCCGUAGCUGGUCUGAGAGGAUGAUCAGCCACACUGGGACUGAGACACGGCCCAGACUCCUACGGGAGGCAGCAGUGGGGAAUUUUGGACAAUGGGCGCAAGCCUGAUCCAGCCAUGCCGCGUGAGUGAAGAAGGCCUUCGGGUUGUAAAGCUCUUUCAGACGGAAAGAAAUCGGGCGCGUGAAUAGCGUGCCUGGAUGACGGUACUGUCAGAAGAAGCACCGGCUAACUACGUGCCAGCAGCCGCGGUAAU
Molecule: ribosomal RNA, 471 nt
Filed under: uncultured bacterium
Lineage: Bacteria
Description: bacterial SSU rRNA
Rfam family: Bacterial small subunit ribosomal RNA
Source: RNAcentral